Long non-coding RNA from Solanum lycopersicum (tomato), 918 nucleotides. RefSeq lists it as uncharacterized. The record is from RefSeq and is a predicted model, not a curated record. NCBI's taxonomy places the organism in Eukaryota, Viridiplantae, Streptophyta, Magnoliopsida, Solanales, Solanaceae.
AAGGCCCAGGUGUCGAAAUCUCCCUUCCCUCUCGUCCUUCCCCUCAAAUUGGAUGUCCCAAAUUCUUUUUUCCGUUGAGCAAUUGUACUAUUCAGUCGAAAAAUCCUACUCCUUUGUCAUCCUCUCGAUGUUAGGGAGGAUUUUUUGGGGGAGGAAUUGAAAAAAAAAAAAGAGAAGACACUAGUUCGAGAGACAACUUACAUUUAAGAGGUUGAAGGCAACAUAUAGAAACCAAAUUUGAAGUGAUGCUAAGGUUCUCAACGUUUGAGCCAGCUUCUAUCCGGUCCCUUCCUCGUUCCUUUCUUAUUCACUCACCGUCUUCCAUUGUGGUCGUGGAAAGCUGUUUCCCUCGCUCGUAUAGUCUCAGUCGCUGCUUGGAGAAAGGAAGCAGAUGGACAGGUUUUGACGACUAUAUGGUGCUGGAAAUUCAUUUUUUAGUCCUUGAAAGUCGAAAAAAAAGAUGAUAUACCGGAUGUAUACACUGGUAUACGGUAGAAAUAUAUGGUAUAUAGUUGAUUACGUGCCAAUACAGGAAAAACGUAGAAAUACGAAGAUCUGGAAACAUUUACAGGUCUGGGAGCUCAAUGAUUAUCGAUAUACAUGACGUAUACACAGGAUAUACACUCCAUGUAUAUCAAGGAGGACAAAAGAAAGGAAAGGGGGCCAGAAGCCCAAUGAAUAAUUCAGCAGGCCCGACUGGUUUCGAAAUGGGCAAGACCUAUUUUGGGUCAUUCUUUUAAAAUGGGACAAAGCUACAAGAUUUAGAGUUUGGGCUUGGCCCAAGUUCAAAUAUUUCUUCCUUCUAUUAUUAACUAUGUGUUAUUAUUGUUACAUUGACUAACUUUUGGUGGAAUUUUGUUUAUUCCCAAGGAUAGCCAUUUCUUUCUAUAUUCAAUAUAUAAAUAUUUAUUUUACCUA